Molecule: ribosomal RNA, 197 nt
Filed under: uncultured bacterium
Lineage: Bacteria
Description: partial 16S ribosomal RNA
Rfam family: Bacterial small subunit ribosomal RNA
Source: RNAcentral
ACGCUCGACACCUACGGGAGACAGCAGUGGGGAAUAUUGCACAAUGGGGGAAACCCUGAUGCAGCGACGCCGCGUGGAGGAAGAAGGUCUUCGGAUUGUAAACUCCUGUCCCAGGGGACGAUAAUGACGGUACCCUGGGAGGAAGCACCGGCUAACUACGUGCCACAGCCGCGGUAAUCUGAGCGGGCUGGCAAGGC